UUUCCGUAGGUGAACCUGCGGAAGGAUCAUUACCGAGUUUAAAGAUUUUUUUUUUUAAAAAAUCUCUACUCCCAUCCUUGUUUAUUAUGAGCUGUGAAGCAGCUUCGGUAGGCCAUCUUUCUUUACGGAGAGAUGUCGGCUCUUAAAACCAGUUGGCUUGUGCCUACCGAAGUAACUAAUUCUGAUAAUUAAUAAUGUCUGAGAACAAUAAUUAAAUAAUUAAAACUUUCAACAACGGAUCUCUUGGUUCUG
RNAcentral lists this unclassified non-coding RNA (252 nucleotides) under plant metagenome. RNAcentral's name for it is "partial contains small subunit ribosomal RNA, internal transcribed spacer 1, and 5.8S ribosomal RNA". The record is from RNAcentral.